UAGGACACUGUUGCGGCGUUUGACCUGGG
Molecule: small RNA, 29 nt
Filed under: Bombyx mori (domestic silkworm)
Lineage: Eukaryota; Metazoa; Arthropoda; Insecta; Lepidoptera; Bombycidae
Description: piRNA piR-bmo-2037156
Source: RNAcentral